AUGAGCCUCGCCGGCUCCGCCCUGGAGGCGGCCCUGCAGGCGGUGGGGCGCGGCCUCGACGCCGCCGGCGACCACCGCCUGCUCUACUGCAAGGGCGCCGGGAGGCUCGUGACGCUCGACGAGGCCCGCGCGCGGGACCUGCCCAUCGGCGGCGGCGUCCUCUGCGGCGUGCCCCCCGACGUCGAGGUGGAGGCCUAUCGCGGCAACCCCGAGCGCAGCCGCCCGCCCCCCGCUGGUGCCGCCCCCGACGAGCCCUUCGUCUGCAGCUUCGACAAGAUGGCGGAGCAUUUCAACAGGAAGGCGAGCUUGCUGGAAACAGUCCCUCUGGGUUCCUUCAACUCGCUCUUCAGCUUUACUGGUUCUUGGAAGAAUGAUGCAGCCGCAACAAAGGCCCUUGCAGUUGAUGGCUAUUCUGUUCCGCUAUAUAGAGUUAAAAUAACUAGUGAUGAACUGAUUCUGCAAGAGAGUGUAAAGCGCGCAAUUCCAUAUACUUGGGAUCCACCAGCAUUGGCUAGCUUUAUCGAGAAUUACGGCACACAUAUUAUUACUUCUGUAAUGGUUGGCGGUAAGGAUGAAGUAUACAUAAAGCAGCAUUCCUCAUCCCAAUUAUCUGAAAUGGAGUUCAGAAAUUAUGUCAGAGAAAUUGGGAACGAGAGGUUCUCAGAUGUGGAGAACAAGUCAAAUGCACCCCCCAUCAAUUAUAGCGAAAAGGACAUGACAGUAAUCUUCAGAAGGAGGGGAGGUUGCGAUCUUGUUCAGAAUUCUGUUGAGUGGAUAAAAACUGUUUCCUCAGCGCCAGAUGUCAUAGGCAUGACAUUUCUCCCUAUUGUUUCACUCGUCGAUGAUAUACCUGGGAAGAAGCACAUUGCUCGUGCCAUUGAUCUAUACUUGACAUACAAACCUCCAAUUGAAGAGUUACAAUACUUCUUAGAUUUCCAAGUUCCACUAGUUUGGGCUCCAGUACCACUGGGUAUUGCUGGACAAAAUAGAAAAGAGCCUGUGUGCCCGUCACUUCAGUUCAGCUUGAUGGGCCCAAAGCUAUUUGUUAGCACAGAACAGGUAUCUGUUGGGCGUCGACCAAUCACUGGCCUGAGGCUGUACUUGGAAGGAGCAAAACAGAACCGUCUGGCUAUUCAUUUGCAGCACCUUGGCUCGUUACCAAAGAUAUUUCUACCUCAUUGGGACUCCCAUAUCACAAUCGGACCACCAAAAUGGCAAGGGCCUGAAGAGCAGGAUAGCCGAUGGUUUGAACCAAUCAAGUGGAAGAAUUUUGCUCAUGUCAGCACUGCGCCCAUAGAGUACACCGAAACAAAUAUCACGGAUCUGUCUGGCGUUUAUAUUGUCACGGGAGCACAAUUAGGAGUGUGGGAUUUUGGCGCAAAGAGCGUGCUCCACCUUAAACUUUUGUUCUCCAGAGUUCCUGGGUGCACAAUCAGGAGAUCAGUGUGGGACCACAGUCCAAGUUCUGGGAUGCAUAGAACAGAUGAAGCUUCAUCGUCCUCAAGUGACAAUGCUAAACUUGUGAAGAUUGUCGACAUGACAGAGACGUUGAAGGGCCCACAAGACGCACCUGGCCAUUGGCUGGUCACAGGAGCAAAAUUAGGCGUGGAGAAGGGCAGGAUUAUUGUACGUGCAAAAUACUCCUUAUUGAACUAUUGA
RNAcentral lists this ribosomal RNA (1659 nucleotides) under Triticum aestivum (bread wheat). Its description in RNAcentral is "partial small subunit ribosomal RNA". The record is from RNAcentral. Lineage: Eukaryota; Viridiplantae; Streptophyta; Magnoliopsida; Poales; Poaceae.